GCUGUGUUGACACGCUCUGCACCUUGCUCCUGCCCUCGCCUUUCACUCUUCUUAUGCCCCCGAUACCCCGAUCAUUCCUGACAGCUCCUGAGUGCCUGGAUUUCAUCAUCCAGCCCUGCAGGAUGCUCCCAUUUCUCCUGAGGAUGGCUGUCCCAGAUGGAGAAGAGGAGAUGGAGGUGGAUAUAGAGAUUGAUAGAGAGGAGGACAUGGAGACGGAGGGAGAAGACACUGGGGAGGAGGAGAUGGAGGUGGAGGUGAAGGUGGAAGAGGAGAUGGAAGUGGAUAUGGAAGAGUCCAUUGAGGACAUGGAUAUUGAUUAAAAAGGCUGUCCCAGACAGAGAGGAGGAGAUGGAGGUAGAUGCAAAGAUUGAUACGGAGGAGGAGAUGGAAAUAGACGGAGAAGACCCUGGAGAGGAAGAGAUGGAUGUGGAUGUGGAGGAGGAAGAAGAGAUGGACGUGUAUGUUGAUGAGGAAGAAGAGAUGGAUGUGGAUAUGGAAGAGUCCAUUGAGGACAUGGAUAUUGAUUAAAAAGGUGCGAUGGACAUCAUGGACAGAGACACCACCCUUGUGUAUAUAUGUUCUACACUUUGUUGUUGUUCUUUAGUAUGUAGAUUGUAGGGCUAUUUUUGACUUCUGUAAAUACGUUUCCCAUAGUUUUGCUAGGUAGGUUUUUCUUUAUAUAUGUUCUAUCGAUUGUUGUUGUUACAAAUAUUCUUACAAUGUAAAUAUGUUCUGUAUUUUUGCUGCUGUUCUUCUGUAAUAAACAAAUUUUACUUUUCACA
Molecule: long non-coding RNA, 782 nt
Organism: Passer domesticus (house sparrow)
Lineage: Eukaryota; Metazoa; Chordata; Aves; Passeriformes; Passeridae
Exons: 4
Source: RefSeq, a predicted model, not a curated record